Pelobates cultripes (western spadefoot toad) is the source of this 603-nucleotide non-coding RNA. The record is from the annotation of a GenBank genome assembly. Lineage: Eukaryota; Metazoa; Chordata; Amphibia; Anura; Pelobatidae.
AAAUGGACUGACUUGUCCAUCAUCAACCAGCAACAACAUUAAAUGUACUGGGAUUGAGAACAUAUGUCUUCAGAAAACAACCACCUUAACAGGUAAAACAAACAUAAUACUACUUGAAUUAUUAAUGGACUAUUUAUUAAUAGGCACUGUGACUGGUCUGAAACUAUCACUCAAAGCACUCACAAUAUCCCCAAUACAUGAAGUCUACAGCAAACAAAACGGUGGUCAAUCAGAGUGUAAAAUGUGUUUUUUUGCACCCAUUGUUAAUGUUAGAUGCUUGAAAGGAAGACAUUGAGAGAGCAUAGGAGAGGCAAGUAGAGAACAAUGUAAGAGCACAUUGUAAGGCAUCAUGAAAUUAAUUUAUAUAAAACUGUUUCAAAGCAAUCAAACAAAAAUAUUUACAUUUGACAUUUGUUUAAAAAAAAAAAGAUUUACCUGUUAUUAGAACUCAUCCUCAACUAUUUUCUUUCAUGUAAUAUAUUUUUUUCUAUAGGAAGCCAAUCAAAUCCUAACGCGUUUCGUGGUUGUAUCACAAAAAGCAUUUGUGAUGCUGAGACCCAGUUGAUAGACACCAGCCAGCCACGUACAUCUGUUAAGUUCACC